This 225-nucleotide unclassified non-coding RNA is filed under the name uncultured Gammaproteobacteria bacterium. Its description in RNAcentral is "contains 16S-23S intergenic spacer region". The record is from RNAcentral. Lineage: Bacteria; Pseudomonadati; Pseudomonadota; Gammaproteobacteria.
UCCGGUUUGUCACCGGCAGUCUCCCUAGAGUUCCCACCAUCACGUGCUGGCAACUAGGGACAAGGGUUGCGCUCGUUACGGGACUUAACCCAACAUCUCACGACACGAGCUGACGACAGCCAUGCAGCACCUGUCACUCAGUUCCCGAAGGCACCAAUCCAUCUCUGGAAAGUUCUGAGGAUGUCAAGGCCAGGUAAGGUGGGGAUGACGUGAGAGAGUACGUCC